UACAGAGGUCGCAAGCGUUAAUCGGAUUUACUGGGCGUAAAGCGUGCGUAGGAGGCCACCUAAGUCGGUUGUGAAAUCCCCGGGCUCAACCUGGGAAUUGCAGUCGAUACUGGGCGGCUAGAGUUCGGUAGAGGGCAGCGGAACUCCAGGUGUAGCGGUGAAAUGCGUAGAUAUCUGGAAGAACACCGAUGGCGAAGGCAACUGCCUGGGCCUGAACUGACUCUGAGGCACGAAAGCGUGGGGAGCAAACAGG
RNAcentral lists this ribosomal RNA (253 nucleotides) under uncultured bacterium. RNAcentral describes it as "partial 16S ribosomal RNA". It matches the Rfam family "Bacterial small subunit ribosomal RNA", at positions 524 to 776 of the family's 1533-position model. The record is from RNAcentral. RNAcentral also lists the same sequence under 1 other name.